GAUGAACGCUGGCGGCGUGCCUAAUACAUGCAAGUCGAGCGGUAAGGCCCCUUCGGGGGUACACGAGCGGCGGACGGCUGAGUAACACGUAGGAACGUACCCCAAACUGAGGGAUAAGCACCAGAAAUGGUGUCUAAUACCGCAUGUGCUCUUCGGAGUAAAGCUACGGCGGUUUGGGAACGGCCUGCGUCUGAUUAGAUAGUUGGUGAGGUAAUGGCUCACCAAGUCGACGAUCAGUAGCUGGUCUGAGAGGAUGAUCAGCCAGACUGGGACUGAGAACGGCCCAGACUCCUACGGGAGGCAGCAGUAGGGAAUUUUCCACAAUGGGCGAAAGCCUGAUGGAGCAACGCCGCGUGCAGGAUGAAUGCCUUAGGGUUGUAAACUGCUUUUAUUAGUGACGAUUAUGACGGUAACUAAUGAAUAAGGACCUGCUAACUACGUGCCAGCCGCCGCGGUAA
Molecule: ribosomal RNA, 458 nt
Filed under: uncultured bacterium
Lineage: Bacteria
Description: partial 16S ribosomal RNA
Rfam family: Bacterial small subunit ribosomal RNA
Source: RNAcentral